CGCUCUUUGCAAAAUAAUUAAAGUAUAAAGAGUUCUGCCUGCCCAGUGACGUUGUUAAACGGCCGCGGUAUCUUGACCGUGCAAAGGUAGCAUAAUCAUUUGCCUCUUAAAUGGGGGCUGGUAUGAAUGGCAAGACGGAGGUUGAGCUGUCUUUUUCUUAUACUUUGAAAUUAAUAUUCUUGUGAAGAAGCAGGAAUUAAUUCGUAGGACGAGAAGACCCUAUCGAGCUUUAGCAUAAGCAUUAAUAGCAUUUUCAUUGUGAGAAUCUAAUUUUACUAAGUUUUAGUAUAAUGAAUUUAAUUUUUUAAAGAAAAGCUAUAUGAUACUAUUGUUUUGGUUGGGGCAACCAUGGAGAAAAUAAAUCCUCCAUUAAAAUAAAAAAAAGAUACUACUUUGUUAAAAAUUUAAGCGAUCCGGGAUAAUCUCGAACAAAGGAAUAAGUUACCGUAGGGAUAACAGCGUAAUUUUUUUGGAGAGUUCAUAUUGAUAAAAAAGUUUGCGACCUCGAUGUUGGAUCGGGAUUUCCUAGAGAUGCAGCAGUUUCUAAGGGUUGGUCUGUUCGACCAUUAAAAUCCU
Molecule: ribosomal RNA, 576 nt
Filed under: Asteriidae sp. CLM-37
Lineage: Eukaryota; Metazoa; Echinodermata; Asteroidea; Forcipulatida; Asteriidae
Description: partial 16S ribosomal RNA
Rfam family: Bacterial large subunit ribosomal RNA
Source: RNAcentral